This 464-nucleotide ribosomal RNA is filed under the name Vreelandella stevensii. RNAcentral's name for it is "partial 16S ribosomal RNA". It matches the Rfam family "Bacterial small subunit ribosomal RNA", at positions 338 to 795 of the family's 1533-position model. The record is from RNAcentral. Lineage: Bacteria; Pseudomonadati; Pseudomonadota; Gammaproteobacteria; Oceanospirillales; Halomonadaceae.
CCUACGGGGGCAGCAGUGGGGAAUAUUGGACAAUGGGCGAAAGCCUGAUCCAGCCAUGCCGCGUGUGUGAAGAAGGCCUUCGGGUUGUAAAGCACUUUCAGUGGGGAAGAAAGCCUUGGGGCUAAUACCCUCGAGGAAGGACAUCACCCACAGAAGAAGCACCGGCUAACUCCGUGCCAGCAGCCGCGGUAAUACGGAGGGUGCGAGCGUUAAUCGGAAUUACUGGGCGUAAAGCGCGCGUAGGCGGUCUGAUAAGCCGGUUGUGAAAGCCCCGGGCUCAACCUGGGAACGGCAUCCGGAACUGUCAGGCUAGAGUGCAGGAGAGGAAGGUAGAAUUCCCGGUGUAGCAGUGAAAUGCGUAGAGAUCGGGAGGAAUACCAGUGGCGAAGGCGGCCUUCUGGACUGACACUGACGCUGAGGUGCGAAAGCGUGGGUAGCAAACAGGAUUAGAUACCCUUGUAGUC